UACGUAGGGUGCAGGCGUUAAUCGGAAUUACUGGGCGUAAAGCGUGCGCAGGCGGCUCCUUAAGUCAGAUGUGAAAUCCCCGGGCUCAACCUGGGAAUUGCAGUCGAGACUGCCCGGCUAGAGUGUGGGAGAGGGUGGUGGAAUUCCCGGUGUAGCGGUGAAAUGCGUAGAUAUCGGGAGGAACAUCAGUGGCGAAGGCGACCGCCUGGCCCAACACUGACGCUGAGGUGCGAAAGCGUGGGUAGCAAACAGG
Molecule: ribosomal RNA, 253 nt
Filed under: uncultured bacterium
Lineage: Bacteria
Description: partial 16S ribosomal RNA
Rfam family: Bacterial small subunit ribosomal RNA
Source: RNAcentral